Molecule: ribosomal RNA, 454 nt
Filed under: uncultured bacterium
Lineage: Bacteria
Description: bacterial SSU rRNA
Rfam family: Bacterial small subunit ribosomal RNA
Source: RNAcentral
AGAGUUUGAUCCUGGCUCAGGAUGAACGCUGGCGGCGUGCUUAACACAUGCAAGUCGAACGGACCCAUUCUUCGGAAAGGGUUAGUGGCAGACGGGUGCGUAACACGUAGGUGACCUGCCCUGAAGUGGGGAAUAAUUCCGCCAACGCGGAACUAAUACCGCAUAUGCUCGGUGAUUCAGUUUGCCGAGUAAAGCCGAAAGGCGCUUCGGGAUGGGCCUGCGGCGGAUUAGGUAGUUGGUGGGGUAAUGGCCUACCAAGCCGAUGAUCCGUAGGGGGCGUGAGAGCGUGNCCCCCCACACUGGCACUGAGACACGGGCCAGACUCCUACGGGAGGCAGCAGUGAGGAAUAUUGCACAAUGGGCGAAAGCCUGAUGCAGCAACGCCGCGUGAGGGACGAAGGCCCUCGGGUCGUAAACCUCUUUUCUGAGGGACGAGCAAGGACGGACCUCAGGA